AGCAGCCGCGGUAAUUCCAGCUCCAAUAGCGUAUAUUAAAGUUGUUGCAGUUAAAAAGCUCGUAGUUGAAUUUCGGGAUCAGUACGCUGGUCAUGCCUUUGGUAUGCACUGGUGUCACUGGUUUCUCCCUUCUGAAGAUCCGUGAUGUCAUUAAUUUGGUGUCGCGGGGAAUCAGGACUGUUACUUUGAAAAAUUAGAGUGUUUAAAGCAGGCUCACACUUGAAUACAUUAGCAUGGAAUAAUGAAAUAGGACGUUUGACCCUAUUUUGUUGGUUUCUAGGAUCGACGUAAUGAUUAAUAGGGAUAGUUGGGGGCAUUAGUAUUCAAUUGUCAGAGGUGAAAUUCUUGGAUUUAUUGAAGACUAACUACUGCGAAAGCAUUUGCCAAGGAUGUUUUCAUUAAUCAAGAACGAAAGUUAGGGGAUCGAAGACGAUCAGAUACCGUCGUAGU
This 450-nucleotide ribosomal RNA is filed under the name uncultured Glomus. Its description in RNAcentral is "SSU rRNA". It matches the Rfam family "Eukaryotic small subunit ribosomal RNA", at positions 569 to 1024 of the family's 1831-position model. The record is from RNAcentral. Lineage: Eukaryota; Fungi; Glomeromycota; Glomeromycetes; Glomerales; Glomeraceae.